This 727-nucleotide ribosomal RNA is filed under the name Staphylococcus pseudintermedius. RNAcentral describes it as "partial 23S ribosomal RNA". It matches the Rfam family "Bacterial large subunit ribosomal RNA", at positions 462 to 1191 of the family's 2925-position model. The record is from RNAcentral. Lineage: Bacteria; Bacillati; Bacillota; Bacilli; Caryophanales; Staphylococcaceae.
AAGGCUAAAUACUCUCUAGUGACCGAUAGUGAACCAGUACCGUGAGGGAAAGGUGAAAAGUACCCCGGAAGGGGAGUGAAAGAGAACUUGAAACCGUGUGCUUACAAGUAGUCAGAGCCCGUUAAUGGGUGAUGGCGUGCCUUUUGUAGAAUGAACCGGCGAGUUACGAUCUGAUGCAAGGUUAAGCAGAAAAUGUGGAGCCGUAGCGAAAGCGAGUCUGAAUAGGGCGAAUGAGUAUUUGGUCGUAGACCCGAAACCAGGUGAUCUACCCUUGGUCAGGUUGAAGUUCAGGUAACACUGAAUGGAGGACCGAACCGACUUACGUUGAAAAGUGAGCGGAUGAACUGAGGGUAGCGGAGAAAUUCCAAUCGAACUUGGAGAUAGCUGGUUCUCUCCGAAAUAGCUUUAGGGCUAGCCUCAAGUGAUGAUUAUUGGAGGUAGAGCACUGUUUGGACGAGGGGCCCCUCUCGGGUUACCGAAUUCAGACAAACUCCGAAUGCCAAAUAAUUUAACUUGGGAGUCAGAAUGUGGGUGAUAAGGUCCAUAUUCGAAAGGGAAACAGCCCAGACCACCAGCUAAGGUCCCAAAAUAUAUGUUAAGUGGAAAAGGAUGUGGCGUUGCCCAGACAACUAGGAUGUUGGCUUAGAAGCAGCCAUCAUUUAAAGAGUGCGUAAUAGCUCACUAGUCGAGUGACACUGCGCCGAAAAUGUACCGGGGCUAAACAUAU